GGGUGAUUAGCUCAACUGGGAGAGCACCUCCCUUACAAGGAGAGGGUCGGCGGUUCGAUCCCGUCAUCACCCACCA
Molecule: transfer RNA, 76 nt
Filed under: Candidatus Symbiopectobacterium sp. 'North America'
Lineage: Bacteria; Pseudomonadati; Pseudomonadota; Gammaproteobacteria; Enterobacterales; Enterobacteriaceae
Description: tRNA-Val
Rfam family: tRNA
About the family: Transfer RNA (tRNA) molecules are approximately 80 nucleotides in length. Their secondary structure includes four short double-helical elements and three loops (D, anti-codon, and T loops).
Source: RNAcentral